Long non-coding RNA from Haliotis rufescens (red abalone), 532 nucleotides. RefSeq lists it as uncharacterized. NCBI's taxonomy places the organism in Eukaryota, Metazoa, Mollusca, Gastropoda, Lepetellida, Haliotidae. The record is from RefSeq and is a predicted model, not a curated record. The transcript has 3 exons.
UGGUUCAUUAGUUGCUUUAUCCUUUCAAUGCAACUCAAGUUAUGGAGUACGCUCACCUUCUUGCGAAAACCUGGUAUUAUCACUCAUUGAUAGUGAUUCGGUAUCGCACAAUGGAAUAUCUCUAAAUUACCAUCUCAGUGAAUUAAUGCAAUUUGUAGUUUACAUCCUGGGACGAUGGUUCCCCUCACGCAGAUUUCUGAAAGGACGCUACUUCUUCUUCUGAUGAUGAUUUAUGAAUCUGUCGGUUCGCCGGAACUCGUCUGUCCGGAUGUCGGCUAUCUUGGUUCUCCUGCUCAUCUGACGUGCAUCCCGCCAAGUAAUAUAACUUCACAUGGCUAUACAACAUCGCGAAGAGAAGUCGCCGCCAUCUGCAGUUUAUCUAGCUCAUCAUGUACACCAUUGGGCAACUACAUGGCAUCUACCAUCAACCAGACACACAGUAGCCUCACCAUACCCGCAGUACAACAAGCACAUGCUGGGUUGUGGACGUGUAUUAUCCCACCUUCGUCUCCACUAUCCUGCAACUUUGCUG